GGCACGAUGGCGGAGUGGUUAACGCGAUGCCCUGCUAUCAUCACGAAAGUUAAGGCAUUUCCCUCGGGAGCGCAGGUUCGAAUCCUGCUCGUGUCG
RNAcentral lists this transfer RNA (96 nucleotides) under Hypoxylon rubiginosum. Its description in RNAcentral is "tRNA-Ser". It matches the Rfam family "tRNA". From Rfam's summary of the family: Transfer RNA (tRNA) molecules are approximately 80 nucleotides in length. Their secondary structure includes four short double-helical elements and three loops (D, anti-codon, and T loops). The record is from RNAcentral. Lineage: Eukaryota; Fungi; Ascomycota; Sordariomycetes; Xylariales; Hypoxylaceae.